UACGGAGGGUGCAAGCGUUAAUCGGAAUUACUGGGCGUAAAGCGCGCGUAGGCGGCUGAUUAAGUCGGAUGUGAAAUCCCCGGGCUCAACCUGGGAACUGCAUACGAUACUGGUCGGCUAGAGUAUGAGAGAGGGAGGUAGAAUUCCACGUGUAGCGGUGAAAUGCGUAGAUAUGUGGAGGAAUACCAGUGGCGAAGGCGGCCUCCUGGCUCAAUACUGACGCUGAGGUGCGAAAGCGUGGGGAUCAAACAGG
RNAcentral lists this ribosomal RNA (253 nucleotides) under uncultured bacterium. RNAcentral describes it as "partial 16S ribosomal RNA". It matches the Rfam family "Bacterial small subunit ribosomal RNA", at positions 524 to 776 of the family's 1533-position model. The record is from RNAcentral.